CCUACGGGAGGCAGCAGUGGGGAAUAUUGGACAAUGGGGGGAACCCUGAUCCAGCGACGCCGCGUGAGUGAAGAAGUAUUUCUGUAUGUAAAGCUCUAUCAGCAGGGAAGAAAGACAUGACGGUACCUGACUACGAAGCCCCGGCUAACUACGUGCCAGCAGCCGCUGUAAUACGUAGGGGGCAAGCGUUAUCCGGAUUUACUGGGUGUAAAGGGAGCGUAGACGGCGAUGCAAGUCUGAAGUGAAAGGCGGGGGCCCAACCCCCGGACUGCUUUGGAAACUGUAUGGCUGGAGUGCAGGAGAGGUAAGUGGAAUGCCUAGUGUAGCGGUGAAAUGCGUAGAUAUUAGGAGGAACACCAGUGGCGAAGGCGGCUUACUGGACUGUAACUGACGUUGAGGCUCGAAAGCGUGGGGAGCAAACAGGAUUAGAUACCCUAGUAGUC
Molecule: ribosomal RNA, 443 nt
Filed under: uncultured bacterium
Lineage: Bacteria
Description: partial 16S ribosomal RNA
Rfam family: Bacterial small subunit ribosomal RNA
Source: RNAcentral